This is a long non-coding RNA of Silurus meridionalis, 115 nucleotides long. RefSeq lists it as uncharacterized. Lineage: Eukaryota; Metazoa; Chordata; Actinopteri; Siluriformes; Siluridae. The record is from RefSeq and is a predicted model, not a curated record. The transcript is spliced from 3 exons.
CCCGAGCGGAAGAGUGUUGACGGUGUGUGAGCUGAAGCUGUUGUGACAAUCUGUAUAUAAAAAUACAUUCUCUAUGCAGACCAAAUCUGGCGUUCUCCUGUCGGUUAUUUUCAAC